This 72-nucleotide transfer RNA is filed under the name Camelus bactrianus (Bactrian camel). It matches the Rfam family "tRNA". From Rfam's summary of the family: Transfer RNA (tRNA) molecules are approximately 80 nucleotides in length. Their secondary structure includes four short double-helical elements and three loops (D, anti-codon, and T loops). Further hydrogen bonds mediate the characteristic L-shaped molecular structure. tRNAs have two regions of fundamental functional importance: the anti-codon, which is responsible for specific mRNA codon recognition, and the 3' end, to which the tRNAs corresponding amino acid is attached (by aminoacyl-tRNA synthetases). tRNAs cope with the degeneracy of the genetic code in two manners: having more than one tRNA (with a specific anti-codon) for a particular amino acid; and 'wobble' base-pairing, i.e. permitting non-standard base-pairing at the 3rd anti-codon position. RNAcentral also lists the same sequence under 2 other names. The record is from Rfam by way of RNAcentral. Lineage: Eukaryota; Metazoa; Chordata; Mammalia; Artiodactyla; Camelidae.
GAGAAUAUAGCUCAGUGGUAGGGCGCGUGCUUAGCAUACACAAGGUCCUGGGUUCAGUCCCCAGUACCCCCA